CUGCCUGAAAACAAAUCACCAUCAUAUUCUCGUUGUCAUCUCCAAGUUAUACUACAAUUUCCAUCACAGUUGAUCAAUUCAAGGAAAUCGAGACCUACAGAAAAGAAUCCUUUUUUUCUCUUUACAAAGACAAUUUUUCCAACCUAAGAAAGCUAUCUCCGCGAGCAAGUUAUGGUCGGAGUAAGGAAAUUCAAGUAUAAACACAUGAGGUUGAGCAGUGGCGGUGGAGAAAUGCUAAGCAGAGUUGAUGAUUUCCUUCUUGUUUUAAGUAGAGAUUCUCGGAGGUGCAUGUCUCCAUACAUGUGACCGUGUUCUUUCCGCUGUGUAGUAAUGUUCUACACAACAUCGACUGUUCGUUUAUAC
This is a non-coding RNA of Salvia hispanica, 363 nucleotides long. NCBI's taxonomy places the organism in Eukaryota, Viridiplantae, Streptophyta, Magnoliopsida, Lamiales, Lamiaceae. The record is from RefSeq and is a predicted model, not a curated record.